This 300-nucleotide long non-coding RNA is filed under the name Rhinopithecus bieti (black snub-nosed monkey). RNAcentral describes it as "lncRNA (ENSRBIG00000046251.1)". Lineage: Eukaryota; Metazoa; Chordata; Mammalia; Primates; Cercopithecidae. The record is from RNAcentral.
CUUGAGAACCUUCUGUGUUUGGUUGCCGGGAUGUUGCUAUGGUCACAUUCCAUGUUGGAAUUGGAGUAGUGAACUGUGGAAACAGUGAUAGCUCAGGAUGCCCAGGCUUGAAGCUAGGCUAUCUGGAAAUUCUGGAGUGUGCUAAAGCCACACUGGACAUGGACCAGACAGCUCUGAAGAAACUGGUAGGAUCCAUCAGUGAAACUGUCAAGAGCUCCCACGCAGUCUCACCUGUUGGUUCUCAGUCCUGACAGUGUGUCAGACACUUGUGCACUUGUUCAAAACAGGAUUUUACUAAGU